AAUUAACAAACACGGAUCAUAUGUUUUGUACAGCUAUGCUUUAAAACUGCUUUUGAUCAGAGCCGCGACUACAACUGGAACGAUCUUAACUGUUGUAAAAGGAUUUUGGUAGCAUAUAAAUAUAUUAUUUGGAUUUCUGUAAAACAAAAGCCUUUUAUGAGAAUUCUCUAUUAAUAUUUAAAAAGCCUUCCGAAGUGCCUGCAUAUCAAUCAUCCAUUAAGAUCAGAUUAAAUUUCAAACCAUUAAAAGAGUAUAGCAAGCUGCAUCGUACUACUGGAACUUAGAUCUCAGCAUCAGUUGACUUCGUUAACCAAAAAGUUGCGAAUCAUUUGUCUGUAACUUUCAUCAUUGAGGAGGACGUCGGCAGUUCAGUUUUUAAGAGUAUGGAUAAGCAAUACAUUCAGCAUGCAAACCUCAAAAGGCAGGACGUGAUGUUGGAAAUAAACGUGGGCCCAGUAUAAGUGUUUCCAUAAAAAUUUGCUAUAUUAUUUUGAGUAUAAAACUAAUAAAAAAGAAAAAAUGUUUUGACAGAAUUUAACUGUACCUUAAUUUUUGAUUUCAAAUUACAGACAAAAAAAUCAGUUCAACUUAAACCAACAAA
Bactrocera oleae (olive fruit fly) is the source of this 601-nucleotide non-coding RNA. NCBI's taxonomy places the organism in Eukaryota, Metazoa, Arthropoda, Insecta, Diptera, Tephritidae. The record is from RefSeq and is a predicted model, not a curated record.